UUCGCUGUGCAACUGAGACAGCUCAUCUUGAAUUGGCUUGGCAUAACUCAGCCUUCUGGACAGAAUUGGCAACAAUAUGUGAACUGGAUUGUUGGCAAAUCUAAAGGCAAAUCUCCACAAGCUCAUAUAUUCAAAAUGGUUCAUGCAGAGAUGUUCUAUGCUCUUUGGUUGGAAAGGAAUGCACGAAUCUUCAGAAGCACCUACUGUCCCAGUGAAAUUU
This 220-nucleotide long non-coding RNA is filed under the name Nicotiana benthamiana. RNAcentral's name for it is "long non-coding RNA (NBEN_LNC015848)". Lineage: Eukaryota; Viridiplantae; Streptophyta; Magnoliopsida; Solanales; Solanaceae. The record is from RNAcentral.